GCAGUGGGGAAUCUUAGACAAUGGGCGCAAGCCUGAUCUAGCCAUGCCGCGUGAUCGAUGAAGGCCUUAGGGUUGUAAAGAUCUUUCAGGUGGGAAGAUAAUGACGGUACCACCAGAAGAAGCCCCGGCUAACUCCGUGCCAGCAGCCGCGGUAAUACGGAGGGGGCUAGCGUUGUUCGGAAUUACUGGGCGUAAAGCGCACGUAGGCGGAUCGGAAAGUCAGAGGUGAAAUCCCAGGGCUCAACCUUGGAACUGCCUUUGAAACUCCCGGUCUUGAGUUCGAGAGAGGUGAGUGGAAUUCCGAGUGUAGAGGUGAAAUUCGUAGAUAUUCGGAGGAACACCAGUGGCGAAGGCGGCUCACUGGCUCGAUACUGACGCUGAGGUGCGAAAGCGUGGGGAGCAAACAGGAUUAGA
This 414-nucleotide ribosomal RNA is filed under the name uncultured bacterium. RNAcentral's name for it is "bacterial SSU rRNA". It matches the Rfam family "Bacterial small subunit ribosomal RNA", at positions 351 to 782 of the family's 1533-position model. The record is from RNAcentral.